This 253-nucleotide ribosomal RNA is filed under the name uncultured bacterium. RNAcentral describes it as "partial 16S ribosomal RNA". It matches the Rfam family "Bacterial small subunit ribosomal RNA", at positions 524 to 776 of the family's 1533-position model. The record is from RNAcentral.
UACGUAGGCAGCAAGCGUUGUUCGGAGUUACUGGGCGUAAAGGGUGUGUAGGCGGUUCCUUAAGUUUGCUGUGAAAUCUCCCGGCUUAACCGGGAGGGUGCGGUGAAUACUGAGGGACUAGAGUACGGGAGAGGAAAGUGGAAUUCCUGGUGUAGCGGUGAAAUGCGUAGAUAUCAGGAGGAACACCGGUGGUGUAGACGGCUUUCUGGACCGUAACUGACGCUGAGGUGCGAAAGCGUGGGGAGCAAACAGG